Molecule: ribosomal RNA, 88 nt
Filed under: Salmonella enterica subsp. enterica serovar Typhimurium str. STm4
Lineage: Bacteria; Pseudomonadati; Pseudomonadota; Gammaproteobacteria; Enterobacterales; Enterobacteriaceae
Source: RNAcentral
UCUGGCGGCAGUAGCGCGGUGGUCCCACCUGACCCCAUGCCGAACUCAGAAGUGAAACGCCGUAGCGCCGAUGGUAGUGUGGGGAGGG